UUGCCCAACGGGGCUGUGGAUACCUACCUUUUAAUUCCUUUUU
Molecule: non-coding RNA, 43 nt
Organism: Papio anubis (olive baboon)
Lineage: Eukaryota; Metazoa; Chordata; Mammalia; Primates; Cercopithecidae
Source: Rfam